ACGGAAAGACCCCGUGAACCUUUACUAUAGCUUGACACUGAACAUUGAGCCUUGAUGUGUAGGAUAGGUGGGAGGCUUUGAAGCGUGGACGCCAGUCUGCGUGGAGCCGACCUUGAAAUACCACCCUUUAAUGUUUGAUGUUCUAACGUGGACCCGUAAUCCGGGUUGCGGACAGUGUCUGGUGGGUAGUUUGACUGGGGCGGUCUCCUCCUAAAGAGUAACGGAGGAGCACGAAGGUUGGCUAAUCCUGGUCGGACAUCAGGAGGUUAGUGCAAUGGCAUAAGCCAGCUUGACUGCGAGCGUGACGGCGCGAGCAGGUGCGAAAGCAGGUCAUAGUGAUCCGGUGGUUCUGAAUGGAAGGGCCAUCGCUCAACGGAUAAAAGGUACUCCGGGGAUAACAGGCUGAUACCGCCCAAGAGUUCAUAUCGACGGCGGUGUUUGGCACCUCGAUGUCGGCUCAUCACAUCCUGGGGCUGAAGUAGGUCCCAAGGGUAUGGCUGUUCGCCAUUUAAAGUGGUACGCGAGCUGGGUUUAGAACGUCGUGAGACAGUUCGGUCCCUAUCUGCCGUGGGCGCUGGAGAACUGAGGGGGGCUGCUCCUAGUACGAGAGGACCGGAGUGGACGCAUCACUGGUGUUCGGGUUGUCAUGCCAAUGGCACUGCCCGGUAGCUAAAUGCGGAAGAGAUAAGUGCUGAAAGCAUCUAAGCACGAAACUUGCCCCGA
This 723-nucleotide ribosomal RNA is filed under the name Salmonella enterica. Its description in RNAcentral is "partial 23S ribosomal RNA". It matches the Rfam family "Bacterial large subunit ribosomal RNA", at positions 2080 to 2802 of the family's 2925-position model. The record is from RNAcentral. Lineage: Bacteria; Pseudomonadati; Pseudomonadota; Gammaproteobacteria; Enterobacterales; Enterobacteriaceae. RNAcentral also lists the same sequence under 1 other name.